RNAcentral lists this non-coding RNA (26 nucleotides) under Mus musculus (house mouse). Lineage: Eukaryota; Metazoa; Chordata; Mammalia; Rodentia; Muridae. The record is from RNAcentral.
UAAAAGACUCCAGCUCUCUCGGGCCC